This 305-nucleotide ribosomal RNA is filed under the name uncultured bacterium. Its description in RNAcentral is "bacterial SSU rRNA". It matches the Rfam family "Bacterial small subunit ribosomal RNA", at positions 333 to 635 of the family's 1533-position model. The record is from RNAcentral.
GGUACCCUACGGGACGCAGCAGUGAGGAAUAUUGGUCAAUGGGCGGGAGCCUGAACCAGCCACGUCGCGUGAGGGAAGACUGCCCUAUGGGUUGUAAACCUCUUUUGUCAGGGAGCAAUUGGCGCUACGUGUAGCGUUAUCGAGAGUACCUGAAGAAAAAGCAUCGGCUAACUCCGUGCCAGCAGCCGCGGUAAUACGGAGGAUGCGAGCGUUAUCCGGAUUUAUUGGGUUUAAAGGGUGCGUAGGCGGAAUGCCAAGUCAGCGGUAAAAUCGCGGGGCUCAACCUCGCUCCGCCGUUGAAACUG